GAACAAGCCUUGCCUUUGGGUAACGGGCUUCCGGGUGCGCCCUGGCCGGCUGUGUGCGCGCGGAAGGCGGUCACCUGGGCCCCCUGGGCGCGCGCGCCGCCCGCCCGCCCGCCUGCCCCGCGCGCACCUGCAGGAGGCUCUGGCGCGCUCCCUCCCUCCCUGGCUGCGCUGCGAAGGGCGCGGGAGAGGGGGAUUCUAGCAGCGCUGAAUCACUUUCCCACAGCCUCUGCGUGGGGAGCGCUUCCUCUGAUGCACGCCCUAUUUGUACUUCCUGAGUGCGCGUGGACUGCGGGCCCUGCUCGCCGCAGACUUGCCCGAAAUAGCAGCGCGCGGGCUCGGCUCCCCGCGCCGCCCGCAGCAUCUGCCUCCCCCUCCCGCCUCGUGGGCAACCGGGCGCGGCUGAGUCACGGUGACACUGAGUCACUCGCCAGCGUCAGGAAAUGCCUUUUUUAGACUUCCAGUUUGAAAUGGAGCAGCAGGAAGAAGAAACAGAGCGCUCCCGGGAAAUGUUGAAAAAGCAGAGCCCCAUUCAUCACAGCACAGGUUGAAGAGACCAGCUCUCCCCGAUAUUGGCAGAAUUUCCAUCACAGGAAUAAGCUUUUGAAAAGCAAACUGACAGAUGAGAGCAGUGAAAUCCACUGAGUGGGCCGUGGAGAACAGCUGUGUUUGAGAGGCAUCUCAGCGAUGUGAAUGAGGCCAGGAGGAGCCAUGAAGACGGCACUGCCUGUGGGGCCCCCGAUAAAUGAUGGCACUGAGCAAUUGGCAGGACUGUGGGCAUGGGAGGGGUCCCUAGGCCCCACCCCCCUCUGCUCCUGUUUGUGUAAUUAACAGCCCGCUUCCUAUCAGGUGCUCUGCCUUCAGUGCUCUCUGCUGCGGCUCUUACCAGCGAGGACUGGAGGGGCGGCUCCUUUACCUGCCCUGUCCUGGUUUUUGCUCCCGCCUGCCCCGUGAGCCAGGGGAUGCACUCACAGCUGCUCUUUUUGAUGUAUAAAGUGUGUUUGAACAUUAUGCCAAAUAUCAAAAUGUGAAGGACUAAUCCAGGAUGCAAAAACGUUAUGGGGGGUUGUAAAUACGAACUAUACAACAGUUUAGGAUGCAAUUAUGAGUGUAAACUGUGUGCCUUAUUUAUACUUCAUUGUCUCCAGCUUCUCAGAUAAAGUUUUGAUGUGUUGUACAGUGGAAUAUCUUAGAUACUUUUUGGAAAGUUUUUACAUAAGUU
Molecule: long non-coding RNA, 1219 nt
Organism: Homo sapiens (human)
Lineage: Eukaryota; Metazoa; Chordata; Mammalia; Primates; Hominidae
Exons: 3
Source: RefSeq, a predicted model, not a curated record